RNAcentral lists this ribosomal RNA (468 nucleotides) under uncultured bacterium. RNAcentral describes it as "partial 16S ribosomal RNA". It matches the Rfam family "Bacterial small subunit ribosomal RNA", at positions 28 to 507 of the family's 1533-position model. The record is from RNAcentral.
GACGAACGCUGGCGGCGUGCUUAACACAUGCAAGUCGAACGGAAAGGCCCUGCUUUUGUGGGGUGCUCGAGUGGCGAACGGGUGAGUAACACGUGAGUAACCUGCCCUUGACUUUGGGAUAACUUCAGGAAACUGGGGCUAAUAUCGGAUAGGAGCUCCUGCUGCAUGGGGGGGGUUGGAAAGUUUCGGCGGUUGGGGAUGGACUCGCGGCUUAUCAGCUGGUUGGUGGGGUAGUGGCUUACCAAGGCUUUGACGGGUAGCCGGCCUGAGAGGGUGACCGGCCACAUUGGGACUGAGAUACGGCCCAGACUCCUACGGGAGGCAGCAGUGGGGAAUAUUGCACAAUGGGCGGACGCCUGAUACAGCAACGCCGCGUGCGGGAUGACGGCCUUCGGGUUGUAAACCGCUUUCGCCUGUGACGAAGCGUGAGUGACGGUAAUGGGUAAAGAAGCACCGGCUAACUACGUG